RNAcentral lists this ribosomal RNA (621 nucleotides) under uncultured bacterium. RNAcentral describes it as "bacterial SSU rRNA". It matches the Rfam family "Bacterial small subunit ribosomal RNA", at positions 158 to 773 of the family's 1533-position model. The record is from RNAcentral.
GGUAGCUAAUACCGCAUGACCUCGCAAGAGCAAAGUGGGGGACCUUUCGGGCCUCACGCCAUCGGAUGUGCCCAGAUGGGAUUAGCUAGUAGGUGGGGUAAUGGCUCACCUAGGCGACGAUCCCUAGCUGGUCUGAGAGGAUGACCAGCCACACUGGAACUGAGACACGGUCCAGACUCCUACGGGAGGCAGCAGUGGGGAAUAUUGCACAAUGGGCGCAAGCCUGAUGCAGCCAUGCCGCGUGUGUGAAGAAGGCCUUAGGGUUGUAAAGCACUUUCAGCGAGGAGGAAGGCGUUGUAGUUAAUAGCUGCAGCGAUUGACGUUACUCGCAGAAGAAGCACCGGCUAACUCCGUGCCAGCAGCCGCGGUAAUACGGAGGGUGCAAGCGUUAAUCGGAAUUACUGGGCGUAAAGCGCACGCAGGCGGUUUGUUAAGUCAGAUGUGAAAUCCCCGAGCUUAACUUGGGAACUGCAUUUGAAACUGGCAAGCUAGAGUCUUGUAGAGGGGGGUAGAAUUCCAGGUGUAGCGGUGAAAUGCGUAGAGAUCUGGAGGAAUACCGGUGGCGAAGGCGGCCCCCUGGACAGAGACUGACGCUCAGGUGCGAAAGCGUGGGGAGCAAAC